CAAUAGCGUAUAUUAAAGUUGUUGCGGUAAAAAAGCUCGUAGUUGGAUUUCUGUUGAGAGCGACCGGUCCAUACCAUGUAUGCGUAUCUGGCUUGCUCUCGGCAUCCUCUCGAUAGACGUUACUGCGCUUGAUUGCGUGGUGCGGAUUUCGGGACUUUUACUUUGAGGAAAUUAGAGUGUUCACGGCAGGCUUUCGCCAGAAUACAUUAGCAUGGAAUAAUACUAUAGGAUCUUGGUUCUAUUUUGUUGGUUUCUAGAAUUGAGAUAAUGAUUAAUAGGGACAAUUGGGGGCAUUCGUAUCAACACGUCAGAGGUGGAAUUCUUGGAUUGUGUUGCGACGAACUACUGCGAAAGCAUUUGCCAAGGAUGUUUUCAUUGA
RNAcentral lists this ribosomal RNA (379 nucleotides) under uncultured eukaryote. RNAcentral describes it as "partial 18S ribosomal RNA". It matches the Rfam family "Eukaryotic small subunit ribosomal RNA", at positions 592 to 976 of the family's 1831-position model. The record is from RNAcentral.